AUGAAAUAAUAUAUAAUAAAUAAAAAAUCGUAACAAACGCCUUCACUUCUCUCUCUCUCUCUCUCUCUCUGAAACUGCUCGCCGAAAAUCGCCACCGCCGUGCCGGGAAUCGCCCACGGCGGCGGCGGAGGCCUGAUCCUCACCAAAUCACUUCAAUCGCAUUCUUUUCUUCCUCUUAAGAAAGAUUAUCAUCUUAAUUUCAACAAAUUUCCAGCUGUCGCACGCUCGAGAAAAAGAACAGUUUCCGGCGAGCGGUUUACGCCGCCGACCACCGUGAGCCACCAUCUUAGACCUCUUCUUCCUAAUUUCGAGUUUAGCCUAACGUGAUUCGUCAUUAAUCUCUCGUUCUCACUCUCUAAUCCUCAAAACGAAACGAACAAAAAACCUAAAUGAUAUCAACCGGUUUACACUACAAAUUCGAUCCAAUUAGAAGCUGGCAUGAGAAAGAAUGUGAGAAUCGAAAGAUUAUAGCGUUUACCUGGGGAGUAUGAAGGUUGAAGAUAAUUGCUGAGGAAAACCAGAGGUAAUUGCUGCGAGAUUGAGCGCCCGAUGAAGGUGAUGUGCGUCGAAUGUAUGUGGUGAGGUUGUUGUUAGUUAUGCUUUCUGCGAGUGAGAGAGAUGAAUGCGUGUUGUGCGUUCUUGAGAGAGUAGAGUCAAUGGAGGCUAAGCUCAGUUGAAACGAGACUUCGAGGUGAAGUCUCGCACAACAAUGGUGAGAGAAAGAGUGAGGGAAUUGAGAGUGAUUGAAGAUGAAUGGUGUGUGUCGAGGGAAGAGAUGAUAAAGAGAGGAUUGAAGGUGAUGAUAGGUUGAAGAUGAGAAAAUGGUGGACGAAGUGAAGAGAUGAAGAAAGUGAAGAGAGGACCUUCAAGAAUGAAGAAAGUGAAAGUGAUGAGAAAAUGGUGGACGAAGUGAAGAGAUGAUGAAAGUUUUUUUAAGCAUGUAAGGAAAACUCUAGGUCAAGAUGAAAUGUAAUUCAACAGGUUUGGUUGUUCAAAUUUUAGUUCCUAUCUUCUAUCGGAAAGUGGUCUUCUGACUAUAUAAGUGUAACUAACUCGCAACUACACUGCUAACAGAUUUGGCAGCUAACUAAUACGAACAAUUAUAAAAUCUACAAAGAAUAUGAAGAAUAUCGACCUUCCCAUCACCGAUUGACACUCUUCCCAUUCCCUGACUUUCGAACCGGAUAUCUCUUCGAUCUCCAAUCAGCCUGAUUCCGACAAGUGAUUUUACAGUCUUAACCUCCGUUCUGGGAAUUCUGUGCGUGUGCACGGGUACCGGUGUGGUACGCUCAUUUAGAAUUGAAUUGACCUAGAAUGGGAGUUGUACGUGAAUGAAUGUAAGGCAGAAGAUGAUGUUCUGCCGAACGACCUUCAACCACGAUAUUAUGUGUUUGGCUCUCGGCAUUCAAGUUUACCUCUUAUUUUGUGUUUGACUUCUUCUAAUUUAUUAAAAAGUGUUUUAUUUUCUUCUGUUUUUUUUAUCUUUCUAUCUUUCAAUCAUUGUAUUGUUCAUCAAGUGAUUUGGCUUUACUAUUGUUCUGGUACAUAAUAACCUUAAAAGUUAUGUUUGCUGGCAUGUUUUUGGUCUGAUUUAAUGGCCAGACAGAGAAUACAGGGAGGCAAUCAAGUGCUACCGAAAUGCCCUGAGAAUAGAUCCUGACAAUAUUGAAAUUCUGCGUGAUUUAUCACUCUUACAGUGUAAUGGAUUUAACUGAGCAAGAAUGCUUUAAAAAACAAGAAAAGGUGGGAGAAACAGAAGGAGAAAAAGGCUGUUGCUGCUGCCCGUUCUUGAUUGCAUAUCAAUUCUCCCUGUCUCAUUCCAACACAUGCUGCCAACAAGUACAUGUCUGAUUAACACUAGCGGGAUUGUUUGACUUAAGGCAGAAGGUAGUACAGGAAUUACAGAGGCUACAACAGAAGGCAUAAGAGAAUUCAAAGAACACUUCAUAGGUGCUACAUAUUAAGGGCUUGCUACUGAAUUGGAAGGGAAAAUUGGACUAAGUCCAUCAAUUAUACUCAAAGGAUCCACUCUAUAACAAGAUUCUACUGUGCUAUGCUUUGUAGAUGCUUGAAUCCCAACCAAAGACUUGGUAUUACAUAACUGAAUUGUAGGAAUACAACGCAUAUAUGUUAUGUGGUAGGAAUACAAUUCAGUAUAUGCUUCAUCUAAAGUUUACUCAAUUUCACAUUCUUCUUCAAGCAAGAAAACAUACCCAAACCGAAAUAUUUAUAAUAUACACUAUAGGCAACGGCAACGGCAACUAACAGACCAAAAAAUGAUCUCCAACUUCAUGUUCAACAGGUGGAUUGAAUGUUAUUGCACACUUUAGGGGAGAACGGGAAGCAAACAAUGCUGCAGCUAGGGAGGGUGGCAAAAUCUAAGUUUGUUUUUCAGCCUCUUUGGGACAUUCUGAAUAGAUAUUGCCACUAAAAUGGACAAUAUCAAAUGAUAACAGUGAAUGUUCAACAGGUGCUUUGGAGGAAGAUUUUGAAGAUGAGAAUGGGAGCAAAAUCUUUUCUAUCAUAAAAAUGUAUUGUCGUACAGUGAUGAAAUUGUUGCGCAACAGGAUAUUUGGUUUGACUAUGGUACGGCUGCUGAAUGGGUGAAGAAUAAGACGAUGACAUUAUUGUUUAUUUAAAAGCGCAAAACUUGAAGAAUCAAGAGAUAUUAAUGCCAAUGGCUUUGAGCGAGAAGAUAGAUGAAGAGUUGAGGAAACUAUUCAUUAGUCAUUAGUUUUCUAAGAAAUCAACAACAACCACCCUCAUCAUCAUCUUAAAAUGGUAUUUUAGUUUUAAAUUUUCUUUACCAAACUCAUGGUGUUCAUAUGCUGGAUUGAAUGUUAUUGCAGUAGUAGUAUGUUUUUCACUACCUUAUUAUGUUUGUAAUAUAUAUUUGAGUCAACUACUUAUAUACAUAUCCCGUAUUUCAGGUUCAGAAUUUUCACCUAUAAAAAUAUACAUCACAGAGGGUGUAAGAAUCUAUUUUUAUGUCUCUUUUAAUUUUCUUUCAGCUGUCGACUUCUACAUUCUGAUUUACUUAUUGAACCAAGUCAAUGGACUGUUCUAUCCCCCUCUGUUUAUCUGUCAAUAAAACUAUGCAGAAUCUGAUAAACUUUUGUUAUUCAUGUGUACUUUCUCUAUUUUACUUUUUUGUUAAGCUGGAUAUAAAAUUUGGCUGUAAUAUAUAUGCAAAGGGUAUCAGCACCUACUUGGGAGCUGCUCCUAUUGUUUAAUGUCUUGAGAAGUGCCAAACCAACCAAAUGUAAUAAUUACAUCAAGACUUGCUGAUGCUGAUUUAUUCUUUAGCACCUAUGGUUUAUGAACUUGGUUGGAACUGGGACGAGUUAGAGCAUCUAGCUCAAGGAUCUCUGGCUGGUCAUCUUAUAGAAUUUGCUCACCGAGAUGUAAUAAUAUAAUAUAAGUUAGAUGUAGUGUGAAAGCAAUGACUAUUGAAAUGACAACUUAAAAGCUCUGAAGUCACAAUUCACAUUUAAUAGAUUAUAAAUAGAUAUAUCUAUACAUUGCAAGAA
Vicia villosa (hairy vetch) is the source of this 3530-nucleotide long non-coding RNA. RefSeq lists it as uncharacterized. The record is from RefSeq and is a predicted model, not a curated record. The transcript is spliced from 8 exons. Lineage: Eukaryota; Viridiplantae; Streptophyta; Magnoliopsida; Fabales; Fabaceae.